UACAGAGGGUGCGAGCGUUACUCGGAAUUACUGGGCGUAAAGCGUGCGCAGGCGGUUUUGUAAGCCAGAUGUGAAAUCCCCGGGCUUAACCUGGGAAUGGCAUUUGGGACUGCAAGGCUGGAGUUUGGCAGAGGAGACUGGAAUUCCCGGUGUAGCAGUGAAAUGCGUAGAUAUCGGGAGGAACAUCAGUGGCGAAGGCGGCUGCCUGGCCCAAUACUGACACUCAGGUGCGACAGCGUGGGGAGCAAACAGG
Molecule: ribosomal RNA, 253 nt
Filed under: uncultured bacterium
Lineage: Bacteria
Description: partial 16S ribosomal RNA
Rfam family: Bacterial small subunit ribosomal RNA
Source: RNAcentral